RNAcentral lists this ribosomal RNA (429 nucleotides) under Staphylococcus aureus. Its description in RNAcentral is "partial 23S ribosomal RNA". It matches the Rfam family "Bacterial large subunit ribosomal RNA", at positions 1603 to 2033 of the family's 2925-position model. The record is from RNAcentral. Lineage: Bacteria; Bacillati; Bacillota; Bacilli; Caryophanales; Staphylococcaceae.
CACUGCCGAGAAAAGCCUCUAGAUAGAAAAUAGGUGCCCGUACCGCAAACCGACACAGGUAGUCAAGAUGAGAAUUCUAAGGUGAGCGAGCGAACUCUCGUUAAGGAACUCGGCAAAAUGACCCCGUAACUUCGGGAGAAGGGGUGCUCUUUAGGGUUAACGCCCAGAAGAGCCGCAGUGAAUAGGCCCAAGCGACUGUUUAUCAAAAACACAGGUCUCUGCUAAACCGUAAGGUGAUGUAUAGGGGCUGACGCCUGCCCGGUGCUGGAAGGUUAAGAGGAGUGGUUAGCUUCUGCGAAGCUACGAAUCGAAGCCCCAGUAAACGGCGGCCGUAACUAUAACGGUCCUAAGGUAGCGAAAUUCCUUGUCGGGUAAGUUCCGACCCGCACGAAAGGCGUAACGAUUUGGGCACUGUCUCAACGAGAGACU